Molecule: long non-coding RNA, 920 nt
Filed under: Parus major (Great Tit)
Lineage: Eukaryota; Metazoa; Chordata; Aves; Passeriformes; Paridae
Description: lncRNA (ENSPMJG00000012293.1)
Source: RNAcentral
AGCAUGGCUAGCCUGAUGAAGUGAAGGCAGCAUGAGAUGCGGGAGAAUAAAAGGCUCCUAGAGAAGUCCCAGCAUGUGGAGGCCAUCCUGCAGGCAACAGGUGCUGAGGCGGUGCAGCUGCAUGAGGUCGAGGAGAUAAUCACAAGUCCCGAGCAGCAGCAGCUUGAGACCCUAAAACGCAACAAGUCUGGUACCGGAUGACACCGACCCAAACGAGCAGCGUGGAUGUCCCCAGCAGGAUGCUGCACACGUCGUAGUCCGAGAAGUUCUGUGGGGACACCACGGGGACAGCGUGGGGACAGCGCCACCCGGACAGGGCCAGCACCCAGGGGUCACAAUGGCCACCCAGGGCUGACCUUGGCCUCGAUGCCGAUCUUGAGGACGGUGCCCAGCACGGUCAGGAGGUCGCUGGUGACCAGCAGCAGGUACCACCCGUUGAGAAACUCCAGCCUCUCCCACACGGACACGGCGUGGCCGUGCUGGCGCCACAGGAACCAGCUGAACUCCUGUGGGGACACCGCUGUCACCGCCGGGGUGCCACCUCUGGGGUGCUACCAGCUCCCACUGUGUCCCAAUGUUCCAAUGUCCCAUUGUGUCCCUCCAUGUCCCAAUGUCCCACCAUGUCCCGAUGUCCCAAUAUCCCACCGUGUCCCCAUGUCCCACCAUGUCCCAAUGUCCCACCAUGUCCCUCCAUGUCCCCAAUGUCCCACCCUGUCCCAACAUCCCACCAUGUCUCCAUGUACCACUGUGUCCCCAUGUCCCACCACGUCCCCAUGUCCCAUCGUGUCCCACGGUGUCCCACCGUGUCCCAGCACUUCCCAACAUCUCCCACCAUCCCCCCACAUCCCAUCAAUCCCCUCCCCCAAACCCCUCAGUUCCGGUUCUGGCGCUGGUUCCGGUUCCAGUUCCAGUCCUGGUCC